UAAGUAAAAGUUUUUAAAGCUUUGUUGCAGAAAGCUUAAUUAAAAGAACUUUUCUCCCCCUAUAUCCUCCCUCUCUCUCACUCUCUUUAUUAGUCCUUCCUCUCCUUUGUAAAGCUGCACCUCCCACUAUCUUCAAAUUUUCUUCUUCUUUUUCUUUUUUGUCUCUAGGUCUUGUUUCAUCAAAUCAAUCUCUAGAAAUUCAAAUUACAAUAAAGUCAAAAAGAGAGAAGAAAAAGUUGUAAAUGAUGAGAACAGAUCAAGACACAGUAGUGAUAUUGGAUGCUGCUUCCAACAAGAACACUAGUAACACAUGUUGUGUGGUUUCCUCUUCUUCCUCUGAUCCUUUCCUCUCUUCUUCUGAAAAUGGGGUCGCUACCACAAACACAUCCAAUCAGAAGAGGAAAAGAAGACCUGCAGGUACACCAGGUAAUACCGUAAUAAUAAAGGGAUCACCACUACCGAAAAUUUUAAUUCUAAAGUUUCAGUUUUUUUUUUUGGUUUUUGUUUUAUUUCCUUAUUAUACCAAUUUGACGUCAUGAGUCUUCUUGAGUUUUCCUGCUUUUCUCUAAACCCCAUUAAACACACACACACACACACACCUUGUUUUUAAUGUUUUAAUCAUAGACAUAUUCCUUUGAUAGGAUAGAUUUUAAAGUUUCAAAUAUUCCCCUUGUUCAUAUUCCCAUUUUCAAGGUUAUGGGUAUAACUUGGGUUCCUGGUUCUCUUAAAACCCAUUUUAUGAUUGAUCAUAAACAGGUCAAUUAAUGGUUUUAUUUUUUAAAUAAUCAAUUUCUUUUCAAGUUUAGAGUGGGGGGUACUAUACCAUUGUUUUCUCUUGAACCUCAUUACAAAUCUCAACUUUUAAAAAUUAAAGUUAAAAAAAGAUCUUUAACUUUAUUGAUGUCACUCAAACAAAAUACAUGUGUUUUGAUGGGUUUUGCUUCUUCUCUUCAGAUCCAGAUGCAGAAGUUGUGUCUUUAUCACCAAGAACUCUUCUUGAAUCAGACAGAUACAUAUGUGAGAUCUGUAACCAAGGGUUUCAAAGAGAUCAAAAUCUCCAGAUGCAUCGAAGACGUCACAAGGUUCCAUGGAAGCUUCUGAAAAGAGACAACAAUAUAGAGGUGAAGAAACGAGUGUAUGUUUGCCCUGAACCCACUUGUCUUCACCACGAUCCUUGUCAUGCUCUUGGAGAUCUUGUCGGAAUAAAAAAACAUUUCAGAAGAAAACACAGUAACCAUAAGCAAUGGGUUUGUGAGAGAUGCUCUAAAGGUUAUGCUGUUCAAUCAGAUUACAAAGCUCAUCUCAAAACUUGUGGCACUAGGGGACAUUCUUGUGACUGUGGUCGCGUCUUCUCCAGGUUUAAUUUCUUGUUCUUCUCCCAAUAAUUCGAUUUUUAAUCAGAAUUUCUCUUUGAACGAAAAAAAGAUCAUAAUUUUUCCAAAUUAUUUUUGGAAAUUUGGAACAAUUAAUCAAUUAUUAGUAAACACUGGACGGAUAUGAUUUUUUUUUUUUUAACACACGGAUAUGAUAGGUUCAAAAUUAGUUAGGAUACAAGUAAUUUUGCUCUGUUUGUUUUGUAUCUUUAGGAUAUCACAGAUAGUUACAAAGGAACUAUAGGUAUAAAUAAAAAAUUGUUCUAGUCACCCAAAACCAUAGUUGAUACUUUUAGUACUAUCUGAUUUGACUAUCCCUCAUGAUUCUUACUAAUUAUGUGUAUUGAUGUGUAUGCAUAUUUCUCUUGACUAUUGUGUUUGGCUUUGGGACAUAAAAGCGAACUUAAUAAGUAGAUUAAUGACAUUGACCCCCAAUCUAUAAAUACAUUACAUAUUUUAGGCUAUUUAGUGGACCUUAACUCAUGUUAAUAUAGUAUAAAUUAUAUAAGUCGUAAGUUAUUAAUUUCAUAAGAUUAAACUAAGAAGCUUAAUAUUUAAUUAUAACUUUACCAUUAUAAUAAUUACUUUGACACUUCAUAACGCUAUAUCAUAUAGAAUAAUUUAAUUGGUAGGUUUUUUUUCCUUUUAGGGUGGAGAGUUUUAUUGAGCAUCAAGAUAGCUGCUCCAUUCGAAAAGUUCACCAUGAACCGCCGCCACCGCCACAAGCUACGGUGAAUGUCCCGGCUUGCUCCUCUAGAACUGCCUCAACCGCAAGCACUCCAUCUACGGAAACGAAUUACGCUGGUGCGGUUGCUACUCCUUUACCUCUAGAAGGGCGUCCAAUUCCUAUAAGAAACUCAUCAAACGAUGUCAAUCUCGAACUCCAGCUUCUUCCAUUAACGCCAAAUCAAAACCGUAAUCAAGAAAACCAACAACACAAAGUUAAAGAACCAUCUCAUCAUCGUAAUCAUCAUGAUACUACAAACUUAAACCUCUCCAUUGCACCAACUGCACCAUCAUUAUCUCAUCAGUACAACAACUUUGAUCGUAUAAAAGAAAUAAUGGCGAGUGAACAGAUAAUGAAGUUAGCGAUGAAGGAGAAAGCUUACGCAGAGGAAGCUAAAAGAGAAGCGAAGAGGCAACGAGAGAUAGCGGAAAACGAAUUUGUUAAUGCUAAGAAGAUAAGGCAACAAGCACAAGCUGAGCUUGAGAGAGCUAAGCUUUUAAAGGAACAAUCUAUGAAGAAGAUAAGCUCGACGAUUAUGCAAGUUACUUGUCAAACAUGUAGUGCUUUAAUAAUAAUGGAACGCAAAGCUGUAUUAGUGAUGUAUAAUCACACUAUUUUUUUUUCCUGAACGACAUAAUCACACUAUUUACAGGACUUGAGAGUGUGACACUCGGAAAAUAAAUCACACUAUAUAAAUAUGUUAACCUGUUAUUUAAUCAUGUCUUACGUCAUCUAUGAGUGAGCGCCGCGCCACAUGAAUGUUUGCAAAUAACCUGCAUUAUAAUUUGAUAAUCCUAGAUUUGAAUUGGAUCGGAACGGAAAUCCGCUUAAUUACUGAUCAGUCAACUAGUAGUCUAUUAAUGGAGAUAUAAUUUCCACACAAUGAUCUAGUUCAUUAAUGAAAAUUAUAUAGUAUUAUCUUAAUUGUUUCUUCGACAAGUCAGGUAAAACUCGUGCAGAUAAUAACAAAAAUAUAAAAAUCUUAAAUUAUUCAUCUCAAAUAGGUUAUGAAGGUUCAAGAAUAUCAGACAAAUUCAUCAAUCAGACAAGAUAUGGGUCCAAUACAAAAACAAUAUAUCCAACAUACUCUAAGAAACAAAAUCUAAAAUGUAAAUAUAAAAUAACAAAAAGAAAAAUCUAAAUGUAUACCUAAAUAAACACAUCCCCCUCUCCUUCUCUCUCUCCAUGAGUGUAUGUAUGUAUAGAUUGUAUGUAGUGAUGGAACAGUGCAAUGAGCUUUAUAAGCAGAGGCAAUAUCGGCAUCAAAAGACCCUCUAACUUGAUCUAAACUCUCUAGUGUACGAGAGAGAAAGGUUAAUGAUACCAAACAGCAAAGAUAGAGCUAGAGAGAGAGAAAGAGAGAGACCCAAGAAAAAGCUUUCAUCAUUUAACAUAAGAGAACUUUGAAGAGUCUAAGUAAAAGUUUUUAAAGCUUUGUUGCAGAAAGCUUAAUUAAAAGAACUUUUCUCCCCCUAUAUCCUCCCUCUCUCUCACUCUCUUUAUUAGUCCUUCCUCUCCUUUGUAAAGCUGCACCUCCCACUAUCUUCAAAUUUUCUUCUUCUUUUUCUUUUUUGUCUCUAGGUCUUGUUUCAUCAAAUCAAUCUCUAGAAAUUCAAAUUACAAUAAAGUCAAAAAGAGAGAAGAAAAA
This 3748-nucleotide long non-coding RNA is filed under the name Brassica napus (rape). RNAcentral describes it as "long non-coding RNA (BNAP_LNC002670)". Lineage: Eukaryota; Viridiplantae; Streptophyta; Magnoliopsida; Brassicales; Brassicaceae. The record is from RNAcentral.